RNAcentral lists this ribosomal RNA (881 nucleotides) under Ctenomyces serratus. RNAcentral describes it as "LSU rRNA". It matches the Rfam family "Eukaryotic large subunit ribosomal RNA", at positions 35 to 935 of the family's 3401-position model. The record is from RNAcentral. Lineage: Eukaryota; Fungi; Ascomycota; Eurotiomycetes; Onygenales; Arthrodermataceae.
UAAGCAUAUCAAUAAGCGGAGGAAAAGAAACCAACAGGGAUUGCCCCAGUAACGGCGAGUGAAGCGGCAAAAGCUCAAAUUUGAAAUCUGGCCCUUUCAGGGUCCGAGUUGUAAUUUGCAGAGGAUGCUUCGGGUGCGGCCCCGGCCUAAGUUCCUUGGAACAGGACGUCAUAGAGGGUGAGAAUCCCGUCUUUGGUYGUCGGCCCGCGCCCGUGUGAAGCUCCUUCGAAGAGUCGAGUUGUUUGGGAAUGCAGCUCUAAGCGGGUGGUAAAUUUCAUCUAAAGCUAAAUAUUGGCCGGAGACCGAUAGCGCACAAGUAGAGUGAUCGAAAGGUUAAAAGCACCUUGAAAAGGGAGUUAAACAGCACGUGAAAUUGUUGAAAGGGAAGCGCUUGCGGCCAGACUCGGGUGCGGGGUUCAGCGGGCSCGUGUCSCCCSUGCACUCCCCGUUUCUCGGGCCAGCAUCAGUUUSGACGGCCGGUCAAAGGCCUCUGGAAUGUGUCGUCUCUCGGGACGUCUYAUAGCCAGGGGUGCAAUGCGGCCUGUUGGGACUGAGGAACSCGCUUCGGCUCGGAUGCUGSCAUAAUGGCCGUAAGCGGCCCGUCUUGAAACACGGACCAAGGAGUCUAACAUCCACGCGAGUGUUCGGGUGUCAAACCCGUGCGCGCAGUGAAAGCGAACGGAGGUGGGAGCCUUAGGGCGCACCAUCGMCCGAUCCUGAAGUCUUCGGAUGGAUUUGAGUAGGAGCGUGGCCGUUGGGACCCGAAAGAUGGUGAACUAUGCCUGAAUAGGGUGAAGCCAGAGGAAACUCUGGUGGAGGCUCGCAGCGGUUCUGACGUGCAAAUCGAUCGUCAAAUUUGGGCAUAGGGGCGAAAGACUAAU